Molecule: ribosomal RNA, 639 nt
Filed under: Calonarius elegantior
Lineage: Eukaryota; Fungi; Basidiomycota; Agaricomycetes; Agaricales; Cortinariaceae
Description: eukaryotic LSU rRNA
Rfam family: Eukaryotic large subunit ribosomal RNA
Source: RNAcentral
GACCUCAAAUCAGGUAGGACUACCCGCUGAACUUAAGCAUAUCAAUAAGCGGAGGAAAAGAAACUAACAAGGAUUCCCCUAGUAACUGCGAGUGAAGCGGGAAAAGCUCAAAUUUAAAAUCUGUCAGUCUUUGAUUGUCCGAAUUGUAAUCUAGAGAAGUGUUAUCCGCGUUGGACCGUGUACAAGUCUCCUGGAAUGGAGCGUCAUAGAGGGUGAGAAUCCCGUCUUUGACACGGACUGCCAGGGCUCUGUGAUACACUCUCAAAGAGUCGAGUUGUUUGGGAAUGCAGCUCAAAAUGGGUGGUAAAUUCCAUCUAAAGCUAAAUAUUGGCGAGAGACCGAUAGCGAACAAGUACCGUGAGGGAAAGAUGAAAAGAACUUUGGAAAGAGAGUUAAACAGUACGUGAAAUUGCUGAAAGGGAAACGCUUGAAGUCAGUCGCGUUGUCCAGGGAUCAACCUUGCUUUUGCUUGGUGUAUUUUCUGGUUAACGGGUCAGCAUCAAUUUUGACUAUUGGAAAAAAGUCAAGGGAAUGUGGCAUCUUAGGAUGUGUUAUAGCCCUUGGUUGCAUACAAUUGUUGGGAUUGAGGAACUCAGCACGCCGCAAGGCCGGGUAUCUAAUGACCACGUACGUGCUAGA